This is a long non-coding RNA of Bos taurus (domestic cattle), 916 nucleotides long. NCBI's taxonomy places the organism in Eukaryota, Metazoa, Chordata, Mammalia, Artiodactyla, Bovidae. The record is from Ensembl.
GGCGGGGUGGGGGCAGCGGCUGAGACCAUCGAGCGUGGGGAGCACUCUCCUCCCUCUCCCCGGAGCGUGCACGGAGGAGGUGCCGGGAGCGUCACGUGGAUGGGAGCCCGGUGGGAGAGCUACCCCUUCGGACUGUAGUGACUCACUUUGUUUUGGUCAGUUCCCUACUGAACCCCCAAAGUCCGUGCACAAGGAAGGGAACACCUCCAGACCAGGACAAGGCGCGACCGCUAAAGGAACCCCCAAAUUUACCCCUGGAAUUCCUUUCCCGUGUGAAGUCUUAGCACCACGUCCGGGCGAACGAGCUCAGGCCCCACUGCUGGGUUCACACUGUCGUUGGUUUCGAGGAAGACCCGCCUUUCUCCACAGAGGAGGCCGAGGCCGGGGAGCCCUGGGACGGCAGACAGGAGGGCUGGGGGGCGGGAGAGGGUGUCUGCCACACUGGAAGGCCUGGACCCCCCUCCCAGAGGCCGAGCUGGUCUAUCUUCCAGGAGGAGGAAGUGUCCCCGCGCCGCCCCGGGCUCUUUUCGGAAACAGAGCGGAGGAACUGGCCGCACGUGCCUGUGACCACGCUGUCCGCGCAGCACCAGAGGGGGCAACGCCAGCCAUCCAGGUCAAGGCAGCGCUCCAGCGGAAACGCGUGACCCUGACCGGCAGGGCCCUUCCUCUGUCUUCCCCAGCCCAAACGGAAAGAGGAAUGUCAGAGCCAGAGCAAUUUCACAAGAGUACAUCAUGAGAAAUGCUGCGCUGGAUGAAGCACAAGCUGGAAUCAAGAUUGCCAGGAGAAAUAGCAAUAACCUCAGAUAUGCAGAUGACACCACCCUAUGGCAGAAAGUGAAGAACUAAAGAGCCUCUUGGUGAAAGUAAAAGAGGAGAGUGAAAGAGUUGGCUUAAAGCUCAACAUUCAGAAAACUAA